GUUUCCUUUAGCUUUUGACAAGCAUUUUAUAUUUGUGUCUUUAGGCAGCUUCGAAAAGCAGUAAAAUCCUUUGGUUUUAUUAUAAACGAAAUUACGUUUUGUAAUCACGGUUUCUAAAUCUAGGAACCGCUGCAACUCAACCAUGACGGUCCCGGGGUCACGUGAUAAAACUUCCCCGUCCAAAAUAAAAAUAUUUUCAAGACGAAAAUAUUUCAACCAUCGUUGUAAAUGGUGGGCGUAUAAACCGACUUUAAAUAUCUCUGGAAGCGUGGACACUGCAGUCAUAUUAUUGGAGUUUAUGGGCUUGUUGUGUUUGAUAAGAUGAGACGAAACGAAGUUCGGGAAAUCGUUGAAGCUUUGCACCUGUAGAACGUAAAGUGAAUGGCAUGAGGGACCUGUAUUAUGAUGUUGUUUGAUUAGGAGACUCAUUCAUUGCUGGUUUUAUAAGGGCGAGGCUCUGUACCGUGGCGCUCCAGGAGAUCUGGUGCUUAGGCCCCAGUUGGCUUGGCGGAUGGUGACGUCUUUUAUUUAGUUUGAUUGACAGCUAUACAUAGAGGUUACAACUGACAGUUGCCACACCAGAUGCCACUUAAACCGAACACCCCCCGUACCUGUGGCAACCUCUGCUGCUUGUUCCUCCCCAUAUAGUUGCCGUAUUCCUUCAUUGCUUGUUUUAACUGUAUUUGUGCAAUAUGAUGGUGCUCUUCCUUCUGCAAAGAAUAAACCACAUCAGUGGGUGUGAAAAUCAACAACAAAUGAAGAACUAUAGUGACCACUGUGAGCGACUGGACAAAUAUGCCCACAAUGGUAGCAGCAACGAGCCCUGAACUUGUAACCUGUGGGCUGGAGGCAGGCGUGUUAACCACAGUGCUACUACACCAAAAAUGUUUUUUUCUGUGGUGUUUUGGUUAAGUCGAAAUAAUAAAAAUUUGUGAUAUCAUUUAAAUUGUAUGCUGGUGUAAAUUUUAAGGGUGAUUAUGGGGGGUAUUACAGUGGGCAGUUGGAUGUAACUUAUACACCUCAUGCUCACUGUUUUGAAUACUUAUGCUAAUAUUGAGAAACUCCCCAAUUGAAAUACACAAAGUUUAAAAGUGAGUAAUCGUCCACUACCGGCGCUAUUAAGCAAGCAGUUUACCCUCUUUCAUUUUACAUUUGGUAUUAGAGCGAGUGUCAGAAUAUAAAGUGUAGUUUAGAAUAAAUUGUAAUUGGCUCGUUAGCUCCUUCUAGCGGUAGGAAAUUCUCGUAAUAAAUGUAAUCUGCUGCGUUUAAAAUACCUCGGGUGAGCUUCGAAACGUAGUACCCUCUAAACGUUGUGUCACCAACAAUUGAUUGACAGGUGCAGAUCAACCACUGAAGCUCCGCCUUCCUACGUCAUCAGCUUUGAUUGACAGUUGCAACUUGGCAGCUUGGACGAAGGUGGUUGUACAACAUCGUGGGAGUUCUGCUAUUGCAUAAGUUAAGUAUUAUGUAGCUUGCUUUAUAACUGUAUAUAUAUAUAUAAGUAAACUAUAUACCGGUAUUAUAACUAUACAUUACCCGUAUUUAUAUUCACAUAUAUAUAUUACUAUCACACAUGUAAUGUGCCUUGCGUAUAUUAUCAUUAUCUUUUAUUCUAUACACAGGUGUCCGCCAUAUAUUUAUUAUGUCACUCGCGUUGUGAUGUCACUUUGCGGCAUCGCGCUCGCUGGAUAACCUUAUUACGUCACAAUGCCAAUUAGUUUCGUUAUAUGUUUAUUAC
Molecule: non-coding RNA, 1738 nt
Organism: Ciona intestinalis (vase tunicate)
Lineage: Eukaryota; Metazoa; Chordata; Ascidiacea; Phlebobranchia; Cionidae
Source: RefSeq, a predicted model, not a curated record